Papaver somniferum (opium poppy) is the source of this 521-nucleotide long non-coding RNA. RefSeq lists it as uncharacterized. The transcript has 7 exons. Lineage: Eukaryota; Viridiplantae; Streptophyta; Magnoliopsida; Ranunculales; Papaveraceae. The record is from RefSeq and is a predicted model, not a curated record.
CUCGAGAAAGCUUCACAUCUCUUUAUUUUGUACAGGGUUUGAUUUUUCAAACAACAUCAGGUUGAUUUCUCAAUUUGGUGCGGUUAUUAGGGUUCAUCAGGUUGAUUUCUCAAUUUGGUGCGGUUAUUAGGGUUUGAUUUUACAAACUUCAUCAGGCUGAUCCUUUUGACAAGUUCCUCAAUGUGAAAAUCCUUGAGCAAGGUUGACAGAAUCGAUUCAUUUGGAUUUGGUGUUUGAUGAGGAGGAAGAUGAAAUUGUUUUUAAAUUAUUGAUCAGUGGUUGUAAAGUGCAUCUUACUGGUUACCAUGAUGGAAAUGGUAAUGGUGGAUAUCAAGAGUUAUGAAGCAGCAUCUGAAGCAAACAAGGAAAGAGAUGAUCCCAAAAUAAGGAGGAGAAGGAAGUCGAGGCCAAGAAAUACGAUGACGAAAAGUGAAAAGCGCAGCCGAGCUUGAGGAGCUUGAAUAAAAAGGUGACGAAGCCUCGGGAGUUCCACUUUGCAACUAUGAAUGGGUUCCUCCUGC